Molecule: ribosomal RNA, 253 nt
Filed under: uncultured bacterium
Lineage: Bacteria
Description: partial 16S ribosomal RNA
Rfam family: Bacterial small subunit ribosomal RNA
Source: RNAcentral
UACGUAGGCAGCGAGCGUUGUUCGGAAUUACUGGGCGUAAAGAGUGUGUAGGCGGUGUUCCCAGUCUGUUGUGAAAUCUCCCGGCUUAACUGGGAGGGUGCAGCGGAAACUAGAAUGCUAGAGGGUGGGAGAGGUAAGCGGAAUUCCUGGUGUAGCGGUGAAAUGCGUAGAUAUCGUAAGGAAGACCAGUGGCGAAGGCGGGUCUCUGGACAGUUCCUGACGCUGAGGCACGAAGGCCAGGGGAGCAAACGGG